UAGGGAAUAUUAGUAAUGGGCGAAAGCCUGAACUAGCAACGCCGCGUGUGCGAAGAAGGCCUUCGGGUUGUAAAGCACUUUUUGAGAGGAUGAGGAAGGACGGUACUCUCAGAAUAAGUCUCGGCUAACUACGUGCCAGCAGCCGCGGUAACACGUAGGAGGCGAACGUUAUCCGGAUUUACUGGGCGUAAAGCGCGUGUAGGUGGUUUGGUAAGUAGGGCGUGAAAGCUCCUGGCUCAACUGGGAGAGGCCGUUCUAAACUGCCGAACUAGAGGAUGGUAGAGGGAGGUGGAAUUCCGGGUGUAGCGGUGGAAUGCGCAGAUAUCCGGAGGAACACCAGUGGCGAAAGCGGCUACCUGGACCGAUAUUGACGCUGAGACGCGAAAGCGUGGGGAGCAAACAG
This 403-nucleotide ribosomal RNA is filed under the name uncultured bacterium. RNAcentral describes it as "bacterial SSU rRNA". It matches the Rfam family "Bacterial small subunit ribosomal RNA", at positions 355 to 775 of the family's 1533-position model. The record is from RNAcentral.